AGUGAACGCUGGCGGUAGGCCUAACACAUGCAAGUCGAACGGCAGCACAGUAAGAGCUUGCUCUUACGGGUGGCGAGUGGCGGACGGGUGAGGAAUACAUCGGAAUCUACUUUUUCGUGGGGGAUAACGUAGGGAAACUUACGCUAAUACCGCAUACGACCUACGGGUGAAAGCAGGGGAUCUUCGGACCUUGCGCGAUUGAAUGAGCCGAUGUCGGAUUAGCUAGUUGGCGGGGUAAAGGCCCACCAAGGCGACGAUCCGUAGCUGGUCUGAGAGGAUGAUCAGCCACACUGGAACUGAGACACGGUCCAGACUCCUACGGGAGGUAGCAGUGGGUAAUAUUGGACAAUGGGCGCAAGCCUGAUCCAGCCAUACCGCGUGGGUGAAGAAGGCCUUCGGGUUGUAAAGCCCUUUUGUUGGGAAAGAAAAGCAGCAGGUUAAUACCCCGCUGUUCUGACGGUACCCAAAGAAUAAGCACCGGCUAACUUCGUG
RNAcentral lists this ribosomal RNA (492 nucleotides) under uncultured bacterium. RNAcentral's name for it is "partial 16S ribosomal RNA". It matches the Rfam family "Bacterial small subunit ribosomal RNA", at positions 29 to 507 of the family's 1533-position model. The record is from RNAcentral.